AGGCAAGCAGGUUACUGGGAGAUCCCUGUGGAUCACAGAGGUGGGCCAGAGUACAGGACACAAAGGGCUUGAAGAAAAUACACAAAAGACAGCUUUGAGAAGCACAGCACAUACUGCAGUUGCUGUGCUCUUCUGCCCACCAGUUUCUGAAGAGCUAACAGCAUAAUGGGAUGCUACAGUUAUGAAGAUACGGUGAAAGAGGAGGCAGACCUUUAUAGAUCUCUUCCUCAUUCCACUUCAGCCUAUUUUCUGCAAUGUUGCUCCAUGAUGCAAAAAGCCACUGACUAUCCCGAAGCUGCUUGUUAGCUCCACCUAAAAAUUUACUACUCGAGACUGCUGCCAGACCAUAAAUCCUCUGGUUCAGGUUCUACAUUCUUUUAAUAAGCUCUAAAACUUGAAAUCUCUGACACACUUAAGGAAGUCAACCAAAGCCAUGCAUCAAGUCAGCAUCAGAAUGAAAAAAUAAAAAAAAUUUGAAAUGAGAUGCUGUGAGGUUGGAGGCUGUUCAGAAAUGGGUUGCAAGAAUGAAAGGAAAUCUAUGCUACAGAACUGAAGACAAAAACUGCUGUGCUCCCCUGAGAAAGGUUGUAAGCUGACUUGACACACUGUAAACAGAGACAAGAAGAAGACUUUU
This is a long non-coding RNA of Manacus vitellinus (golden-collared manakin), 634 nucleotides long. RefSeq lists it as uncharacterized. The transcript is spliced from 3 exons. Lineage: Eukaryota; Metazoa; Chordata; Aves; Passeriformes; Pipridae. The record is from RefSeq and is a predicted model, not a curated record.